Molecule: ribosomal RNA, 273 nt
Filed under: uncultured bacterium
Lineage: Bacteria
Description: partial 16S ribosomal RNA
Rfam family: Bacterial small subunit ribosomal RNA
Source: RNAcentral
ACUACGGGAGGCAGCAGUAGGGAAUCUUCCACAAUGGGCGAAAGCCUGAUGGAGCAACGCCGCGGGGGUGAAGAAGGUCUUCAGAUCGUAAAACCCUGUUGUUAGAGAAGAAAGUGCGUGAGAGUAACUGUUCACGGUUCGACGGUAUCUAACCAGAAAGCCACGGCUAACUACGUGCCAGCAGCCGCGGUAGUACGUAGGUGGCAAGAGUUAUCCGGAUUUAUUGGGCGUAAAGGGAACGUAGGCGGUCUUUUAAGGCUGAUGUGAAAGCCU